ACAGCAACACCAAAAAGGUAUUCUCGAAGUAAUCCGUGGUUGAACAAACGGUAUCGAGUUAUUGGUUCACCACCAAGUGCAUUACAUACACUCGAGAAUGAAUGCAAUUUUACGUUUCCUAGAAGAUCAUUGAGAUUU
Molecule: long non-coding RNA, 138 nt
Organism: Vollenhovia emeryi
Lineage: Eukaryota; Metazoa; Arthropoda; Insecta; Hymenoptera; Formicidae
Exons: 3
Source: RefSeq, a predicted model, not a curated record